GUUGGCGGGCUUGCCCGUCAGUGGCGCAGCUAACGCUUUAAGCAUUCCGCCUGGGGAGUACGGUCGCAAGAUUAAAACUCAAAGGAAUUGACGGGGGCCCGCACAAGCGGUGGGGCAUGUGGUUCAAUUCGACGCAACGCGAARAACCUUACCAGCCCUUGACAUGUCCAGGACCGGUCGCAGAGAUGUGACCUUCUCUUCGGAGCCUGGAGCACAGGUGCUGCAUGGCUGUCGUCAGCUCGUGUCGKGAGAUGUUGGGUUAAGUCCCGCAACGAGCGCAACCCUCGCCCUUAGUUGCCAUCAUUUAGUUGGGCACUCUAAGGGGACUGCCGGUGAUAAGCCGGAGGAAGGUGGGGAUGACGUCAAGUCCUCAUGGCCCUUACACG
This 386-nucleotide ribosomal RNA is filed under the name uncultured Hyphomicrobiales bacterium. RNAcentral describes it as "bacterial SSU rRNA". It matches the Rfam family "Bacterial small subunit ribosomal RNA", at positions 822 to 1208 of the family's 1533-position model. The record is from RNAcentral. Lineage: Bacteria; Pseudomonadati; Pseudomonadota; Alphaproteobacteria; Hyphomicrobiales.